This 1312-nucleotide long non-coding RNA is filed under the name Olea europaea subsp. europaea. Lineage: Eukaryota; Viridiplantae; Streptophyta; Magnoliopsida; Lamiales; Oleaceae. The record is from RNAcentral.
UGAGGGCCAAACAGGGGCUAAAUGGCGAGACGUGGGCCCAAUUCAGAGACUAAUGGUCAAGAGGUGAUCGAUGAGGAGCCAUAGUGGUGGAGUCCACCGGUCGAGGCAGCAAUGCUAAGUUUUCUACCUAAGGUCGUCCCCAAUAGGGUUGCAUCGAGAGGUUCAGCGCUAGGCUUUCCACCUACAUCUUCUUCUUCCUUCUUAUUAUUUCUUCUCUCUUUUCCCCUUUACCUUCUUUCUUUUUUUUUCCUGUUUCUGUAACAAUUAAUCUAAAUGGAUAAGGCUGAGUAGGGAUGUCAAAUGGAUCGAGUUGCUCGUCGGCUCAGGCCCAUCAAAUGACGAACCCAAGCCGAGCAGGGGCUCAAUCCCACGAGCUGAGCUUGCUCGACUCGUUAAGCCCGUGAGCGGCUCGUGGGAUGUGUGCCCACGAUCCAAAGUUCACGAAGCCCAUGAGCCGCUCACGUGGGCUCGUAAAAAAUGUGCAAAUUUACAAAAAAAAUUAAAAAAAUUACGAGUUUGCGAGCGGUUCAUGGGCUCCACUCAACCCACUAGCGGGUAGCUCGUGAGCUCACGAGCUUGCCACGAGCGAGAGCAGAGCUCGUGGAUUAAAGGGUCGAGCUAACUCGACUCGAUUCAUUGCCAUCCCUAUGGCUAAGUGACAACGUUUGGUGAUAGGAUUUUAAAAACAAUCGACGUGACACUGGAAUAAGGAGGGAAAAAAAGUUGACUUGCUUGAUUGAAAACCAUUACACCCCUAAGUCCUGACCAUCAACGCCCAGCAAUGGUCACUCCGAUCUCGUCAAAUUUCGGCCAAUCUAUGUGAGCUCAUCCACUCCUCAUUCUUAAUUUGCGCCUCAUUCUCGCGUUCAAGUCAUCUUCGACCAGACGUUUUAGAGGCUACUACACAUAGUGAAGAAGAGUAAAGCUCCACUUUCCCCAAAUCCCUAUAGGUAUCAUCACUCUUGUGGCUUGACAUAUUUAUAAUUUUGUUUAGCAAACUGCGGCUUGUUAUAUACCGUAAAGUUAGAUGAUUGUCGCUGUUGUCCAAAAUGAGACUUUAGCUCUAUGCUGUAAUGUUGCUUAGGAAGCUAAUUACUUGGUCUUUAAACUUCGAUUGUAUGAGAUUUCUAUUGAAAAUGAAAUUUAGCUAUUUUUGUCUUUUUAUAUUGAAAUUUAACAAAUAUAUGUCCUAAGACUUGGCAUUAUUACUAUUUAACAAUGUUAUUAAAAUUGACCCGACCAGUCGGCCUGGUUCAAUCAGUAAAAUCGAAAACCGGGCCUAAAAUCGGGUCAGUUAUAUGUUAAUAAUCAG